CAAACCGACACAGGUGGGUGAGGAGAGUAUCCUAAGGCCAGCGAGAGAACUGUUGUUAAGGAACUCGGCAAAAUGACCCCGUAACUUAGGGAUAAGGGGUGCCACCAUCAGGUGGCCGCAGAGAAUAGGCCCAAGCGACUGUUUACCAAAAACAUAGGUUUCUGCUAAGUCGCAAGACGAUGUAUAGGAGCUGACGCCUGCCCGGUGCUGGAAGGUUAAGGGGAUCUGUUAGAGCAAUCGAAGCAGUGAACUUAAGCCCCAGUAAACGGCGGCCGUAACUAUAACGGUCCUAAGGUAGCGAAAUUCCUUGUCGGGUAAGUUCCGACCCGCACGAAAGGCGUAACGAUUUGGGCACUGUCUCAACAACAGACUCGGUGAAAUUGUAAUUCCGGUGAAGAUGCCGGAUACCUGCGACAGGACGGAAAGACCCCAUGGAGCUUUACUGUAGCUUGACAUUGGGUCUUGGUACUACAUGUACAGGAUAGGUGGGAGGCUUUGAAACCAGGACGCCAGUUUUGGCGGAGCCAUCCUUGGGAUACCACCCUUGUAGUACUGGGACUCUAACCAUAGGCCAUGAAUCUGGUCUUGGGACACUGUCAGGUGGGCAGUUUGACUGGGGCGGUCGCCUCCCAAAAGGUAACGGAGGCGCUCAAAGGUUCUCUCAGUACGGUCGGAAAUCGUACGUAGAGUGUAAAGGCAAAAGAGAGCUUGAUUGCAAGACAUACAGGUCGAGCAAGGAUGAAAAUCGGACUUAGUGAUCCGGUGGUUCUGCGUGGAAGGGCCAUCGCUCAACGGAUAAAAGCUACCCUGGGGAUAACAGGCUUAUCUCCCCCAAGAGUCCACAUCGACGGGGAGGUUUGGCACCUCGAUGUCGGCUCAUCACAUCCUGGGGCUGUAGUAGGUCCCAAGGGUUGGGCUGUUCGCCCAUUAAAGUGGUACGCGAGCUGGGUUCAGAACGUCGUGAGACAGUUCGGUCCCUAUCCGUCGCAGGCGUAGGAAAUUUGAGAAGACCUGUCCUUAGUACGAGAGGACCGGGAUGGACG
Molecule: ribosomal RNA, 1043 nt
Filed under: Clostridioides difficile
Lineage: Bacteria; Bacillati; Bacillota; Clostridia; Peptostreptococcales; Peptostreptococcaceae
Description: partial 23S ribosomal RNA
Rfam family: Bacterial large subunit ribosomal RNA
Source: RNAcentral